GAUGAACGCUGGCGGCGUGCUUAACACAUGCAAGUCGAACGGAAAGGCCCUUGCUUGCAGGGGUACUCGAGUGGCGAACGGGUGAGUAACACGUGGGUGAUCUGCCCUGCACUUCGGGAUAAGCCUGGGAAACUGGGUCUAAUACCGGAUAGGACCAUCGUUUAGUGUCGGUGGUGGAAAGUUUUUUCGGUGUGGGAUGAGCUCGCGGCCUAUCAGCUUGUUGGUGGGGUAAUGGCCUACCAAGGCGUCGACGGGUAGCCGGCCUGAGAGGGUGUACGGCCACAUUGGGACUGAGAUACGGCCCAGACUCCUACGGGAGGCAGCAGUGGGGAAUAUUGCACAAUGGGCGCAAGCCUGAUGCAGCGACGCCGCGUGAGGGAUGACGGCCUUCGGGUUGUAAACCUCUUUCAGUAGGGAAGAAGCGAAAGUGACGGUACCUGCAGAAGAAGCACCGGCUAACUACGUG
This 466-nucleotide ribosomal RNA is filed under the name uncultured bacterium. RNAcentral's name for it is "partial 16S ribosomal RNA". It matches the Rfam family "Bacterial small subunit ribosomal RNA", at positions 28 to 507 of the family's 1533-position model. The record is from RNAcentral.